This 119-nucleotide ribosomal RNA is filed under the name Salmo salar (Atlantic salmon). Lineage: Eukaryota; Metazoa; Chordata; Actinopteri; Salmoniformes; Salmonidae. The record is from RNAcentral.
GCUCACGGCCAUAUCAGCCUGGGUACGCCCGAUCUCGUCUGAUCUCGGAAGCUAAGCAGGGUCGGGCCUGGUUAGUACUUUGAUGGGAGACUGCCUGGGAAUACCAGGUGCUGUAAGCA